RNAcentral lists this ribosomal RNA (466 nucleotides) under uncultured bacterium. RNAcentral's name for it is "partial 16S ribosomal RNA". It matches the Rfam family "Bacterial small subunit ribosomal RNA", at positions 28 to 507 of the family's 1533-position model. The record is from RNAcentral.
GAUGAACGCUGGCGGCGUGCUUAACACAUGCAAGUCGAACGAUGAAGCCCAGCUUGCUGGGUGGAUUAGUGGCGAACGGGUGAGUAACACGUGAGUAACCUGCCCUUAACUCUGGGAUAAGCCUGGGAAACUGGGUCUAAUACCGGAUAGGAGCGCCUACCGCAUGGUGGGUGUUGGAAAGAUUUAUCGGUUUUGGAUGGACUCGCGGCCUAUCAGCUUGUUGGUGAGGUAAUGGCUCACCAAGGCGACGACGGGUAGCCGGCCUGAGAGGGUGACCGGCCACACUGGGACUGAGACGCGGCCCAGACUCCUACGGGAGGCAGCAGUGGGGAAUAUUGCACAAUGGGCGAAAGCCUGAUGCAGCGACGCCGCGUGAGGGAUGACGGCCUUCGGGUUGUAAACCUCUUUCAGUAGGGAAGAAGCGAAAGUGACGGUACCUGCAGAAGAAGCACCGGCUAACUACGUG